CUUGUCAGUCAUCGGAUUUGUCACAAAUCUCGACACGUUGAUGCUGAUGAUUCCUGAACUGCUCCAAGUUCAGCAGUAUGUGCUCACCUACAUGUUCAGCCAGGAUCACUUGGAGCUCCUAUCUAAUUCAAUCAGAGCAUCAGGGGGCUGGAAUAACAAUCCAACGACACGUCAGUUCCAGGCAAUCUUCCGCUGUCUGAUGGUUCGGUGUGGUGUUUCACCUGGUGAGACAGGCAAUGUGGCAGCCCAAGACGACACUGUGUCCCUGUCUGCUGUGGAGAUGUCCUCUGCUGAAACACUGCUGAAGAACACCCAUCCCCAUUCGCCAACAUUUCAGCCCUCGUGUGUGACCACAGUUAUCUCCCCACUCGGUUUGGUGGUCUGGUGGAAAAUGCUCUGGUCUACAUAGCAGGGUUUGUAGUCCGGCAGAUUUUUCGAAAGCUGUCCUGUGAGGUGUGCCGUGCGAGCUUGGUCAGAGAUGCUGUACCAGCUUCAUUUGACGAGAGCUACCACCUUCUAGCCCUGAAAAACCAUGGCGGCCUAGUAAUUACAUCACAAGGCAUAGUAAAGGUGCUGAGAGCUGCAGAGAGGGUGAUCCGCCGAGCGUCAAUAACACAAGCUCCUGAGGUGUCGACAGUCACACACAUCGUCUGAGAGGAGAUUGGAACGGAUGAUGUUUUUUUGCUUGGGGAACACAUUGAAGAGACACAGUUUGGCAUUGACAACCAUCAUUCAGACUUGUUGUCAUUGGUUGUGUCUGUGUUUCUCAAGCUAAGGCUGCACCACAUUGCCAAACUCACCACUCUGGAACUGCAAAAAGGGAGCACGAGAAAGAAGCUCUGCAAGACCGUCCUAUUCCAGGGGUUUGUGUGUGUGUGUGUAUGUGAUAGUUAGUUAGUUAGUUAGACCCUCUUUGGUGCAAACACCCGGCGUUCUGUUGAAGUUAUUUGUGUGCAUGUGUGUGUGCUUGCAAACGUUCAAUUCAUUUUAUUUCUAAUUCUAUAUUGUUUUUUAACGUAUUAAAUGUCUGACUUUACUACUACUAUCUGUUUCUGCUUCUCUAUCAAAAUUAUAGUGUGUGAUUUGCAAAAUACCUAUCAUAGUCUAUAUCACAUCAUAUAUCAGAAUAUAACAUUACUGUUAAGUCCACAAUGAAUAUUAAAAUACGCCGAACUAUGUGGCCUGUGUCAUAGCUGCAUGUAUGACCUUUGCAGC
Molecule: non-coding RNA, 1215 nt
Organism: Gasterosteus aculeatus aculeatus (three-spined stickleback)
Lineage: Eukaryota; Metazoa; Chordata; Actinopteri; Perciformes; Gasterosteidae
Source: RefSeq, a predicted model, not a curated record